AUUGAACGCUGGCGGCAGGCCUAACGCAUGCAAGUCGAGCGGCAGCGGAAGGAAGCUUGCUUCCUUGCCGGCGAGCGGCGGACGGGUGAGUAAGGUAUGGGGAUCUGGCCGAAGGCGGGGGAUAACCACUGGAAACGGUGGCUAAUACCGCAUAAUCUCUAGGGAGCAAAGUGGGGGACCGUUCAGGCCUCACACCUUCGGAUGAACCCAUAUGAAAUUAGCUAGUAGGUGGGGUAAUGGCUCACCUAGGCGACGAUCUCUAGCUGGUCUGAGAGGAUGAUCAGCCACACUGGGACUGAGACACGGCCCAGACUCCUACGGGAGGCAGCAGUGGGGAAUAUUGCACAAUGGGCGCAAGCCUGAUGCAGCCAUGCCGCGUGUAUGAAGAAGGCCUUCGGGUUGUAAAGUACUUUCAAUCGUGAGGAAGGUGUUAAGGUUAAUAACCUUAGCAAUUGACGUUAGCGACAGAAGAAGCACCGGCUAACUCCGUGCCAGCCGCCGCGGUAA
This 507-nucleotide ribosomal RNA is filed under the name uncultured bacterium. Its description in RNAcentral is "partial 16S ribosomal RNA". It matches the Rfam family "Bacterial small subunit ribosomal RNA", at positions 30 to 523 of the family's 1533-position model. The record is from RNAcentral.